CCUACGGGAGGCAGCAGUGAGGAAUAUUGGUCAAUGGACGAGAGUCUGAACCAGCCAAGUAGCGUGAAGGAUGACUGCCCUCUGGGUUGUAAACUUCUUUUAUAUGGGAAUAAAAUGUUCCACGUGUGGGAUUUUGUAUGUACCAUAUGAAUAAGGAUCGGCUAACGCCGUGCCAGCAGCCGCGGUAAUACGGAGGAUCCGAGCGUUAUCCGGAUUUAUUGGGUUUAAAGGGAGCGUAGGUGGAUUGUUAAGUCAGUUGUGAAAGUUUGCGGCUCAACCGUAAAAUUGCAGUUGAAACUGGCAGUCUUGAGUACAGUAGAGGUGGGCGGAAUUCGUGGUGUAGCGGUGAAAUGCUUAGAUAUCACGAAGAACUCCGAUUGCGAAGGCAGUUCACUGGACUGCAACUGACACUGAGGCUCGAAAGUGUGGGUAUCAAACAGGAUUAGAUACCCGAGUAGUC
This 460-nucleotide ribosomal RNA is filed under the name uncultured bacterium. RNAcentral describes it as "partial 16S ribosomal RNA". It matches the Rfam family "Bacterial small subunit ribosomal RNA", at positions 338 to 795 of the family's 1533-position model. The record is from RNAcentral.